GGUUAAGCGACUAAGCGUACACGGUGGAUGCCCUGGCAGUCAGAGGCGAUGAAGGACGUGCUAAUCUGCGAAAAGCGCCGGCGAGGUGAUAUGAACCUUUGACCCGGCGAUGUCCGAAUGGGGAAACCCAGUGUGUUCCGACACACUAUCGUUAACUGAAUACAUAGGUUAACGAGGCGAACCGGGGGAACUGAAACAUCUAAGUACCCCGAGGAAAAGAAAUCAACCGAGAUUCCCCCAGUAGCGGCGAGCGAACGGGGAGCAGCCCAGAGUCUGAAUCAGCUUGUGUGUUAGUGGAAGCGUCUGGAAAGUCGCACGGUACAGGGUGACAGUCCCGUACACGAAAGCACACAGGUUGUGAACUCGAAGAGUAGGGCGGGACACGUGGUAUCCUGUCUGAAUAUGGGGGGACCAUCCUCCAAGGCUAAAUACUCCUGACUGACCGAUAGUGAACCAGUACCGUGAGGGAAAGGCGAAAAGAACCCCGGCGAGGGGAGUGAAAAAGAACCUGAAACCGUGUACGUACAAGCAGUGGGAGCCUCUUUAUGGGGUGACUGCGUACCUUUUGUAUAAUGGGUCAGCGACUUAUAUUCUGUAGCAAGGUUAACCGUAUAGGGGAGCCGAAGGGAAACCGAGUCUUAACUGGGCGUUAAGUUGCAGGGUAUAGACCCGAAACCCGGUGAUCUAGCCAUGGGCAGGUUGAAGGUUGGGUAACACUAACUGGAGGACCGAACCGACUAAUGUUGAAAAAUUAGCGGAUGACUUGUGGCUGGGGGUGAAAGGCCAAUCAAACCGGGAGAUAGCUGGUUCUCCCCGAAAGCUAUUUAGGUAGCGCCUCGUGAACUCAUCUUCGGGGGUAGAGCACUGUUUCGGCUAGGGGGCCAUCCCGGCUUACCAACCCGAUGCAAACUACGAAUACCGAAGAAUGUUAUCACGGGAGACACACGGCGGGUGCUAACGUCCGUCGUGAAGAGGGAAACAACCCAGACCGCCAGCUAAGGUCCCAAAGUCAUGGUUAAGUGGGAAACGAUGUGGGAAGGCACAGACAGCCAGGAUGUUGGCUUAGAAGCAGCCAUCAUUUAAAGAAAGCGUAAUAGCUCACUGGUCGAGUCGGCCUGCGCGGAAGAUGUAACGGGGCUAAACCAUGCACCGAAGCUGCGGCAGCGAC
Molecule: ribosomal RNA, 1168 nt
Filed under: Enterobacter ludwigii
Lineage: Bacteria; Pseudomonadati; Pseudomonadota; Gammaproteobacteria; Enterobacterales; Enterobacteriaceae
Description: partial 23S ribosomal RNA
Rfam family: Bacterial large subunit ribosomal RNA
Source: RNAcentral